UGGGCGUUAAGUUGCAGGGUAUAGACCCGAAACCCGGUGAUCUAGCCAUGGGCAGGUUGAAGGUUGGGUAACACUAACUGGAGGACCGAACCGACUAAUGUUGAAAAAUUAGCGGAUGACCUGUGGCUGGGGGUGAAAGGCCAAUCAAACCGGGAGAUAGCUGGUUCUCCCCGAAAGCUAUUUAGGUAGCGCCUCGUGAAUUCAUCUCCGGGGGUAGAGCACUGUUUCGGCUAGGGGGCCAUCCCGGCUUACCAACCCGAUGCAAACUGCGAAUACCGGAGAAUGUUAUCACGGGAGACACACGGCGGGUGCUAACGUCCGUCGUGAAGAGGGAAACAACCCAGACCGCCAGCUAAGGUCCCAAAGUCAUGGUUAAGUGGGAAACGAUGUGGGAAGGCCCAGACAGCCAGGAUGUUGGCUUAGAAGCAGCCAUCAUUUAAAGAAAGCGUAAUAGCUCACUGGUCGAGUCGGCCUGCGCGGAAGAUGUAACGGGGCUAAACCAUGCACCGAAGCUGCGGCAGCGACACUGUGUGUUGUUGGGUAGGGGAGCGUUCUGUAAGCCUGUGAAGGUGUGUCGUGAGGCAUGCUGGAGGUAUCAGAAGUGCGAAUGCUGACAUAAGUAACGAUAAAGCGGGUGAAAAGCCCGCUCGCCGGAAGACCAAGGGUUCCUGUCCAACGUUAAUCGGGGCAGGGUGAGUCGACCCCUAAGGCGAGGCCGAAAGGCGUAGUCGAUGGGAAACGGGUUAAUAUUCCCGUACUUGGUGUUACUGCGAAGGGGGGACGGAGAAGGCUAUGUUGGCCGGGCGACGGUUGUCCCGGUUUAAGCGUGUAGGUGUGUGUUCCAGGUAAAUCCGGUUCACUUUAACACUGAGGCGUGACGACGAGGCACUACGGUGCUGAAGCAACAAAUGCCCUGCUUCCAGGAAAAGCCUCUAAGCAUCAGGUAACAUCAAAUCGUACCCCAAACCGACACAGGUGGUCAGGUAGAGAAUACCAAGGCGCUUGAGAGAACUCGGGUGAAGGAACUAGGCAAAAUGGUGCCGUAACUUCGGGAGAAGGCACGCUGACACGUAGGUGAAGUGAUUUACUCAUGGAGCUGAAGUCAGUCGAAGAUACCAGCUGGCUGCAACUGUUUAUUAAAAACACAGCACUGUGCAAACACGAAAGUGGACGUAUACGGUGUGACGCCUGCCCGGUGCCGGAAGGUUAAUUGAUGGGGUCAGCGCAAGCGAAGCUCCUGAUCGAAGCCCCGGUAAACGGCGGCCGUAACUAUAACGGUCCUAAGGUAGCGAAAUUCCUUGUCGGGUAAGUUCCGACCUGCACGAAUGGCGUAAUGAUGGCCAGGCUGUCUCCACCCGAGACUCAGUGAAAUUGAACUCGCUGUGAAGAUGCAGUGUACCCGCGGCAAGACGGAAAGACCCCGUGAACCUUUACUAUAGCUUGACACUGAACAUUGAGCCUUGAUGUGUAGGAUAGGUGGGAGGCUUUGAAGUGUGGACGCCAGUCUGCAUGGAGCCGACCUUGAAAUACCACCCUUUAAUGUUUGAUGUUCUAACGUGGACCCGUUACCCGGGUUGCGGACAGUGUCUGGUGGGUAGUUUGACUGGGGCGGUCUCCUCCUAAAGAGUAACGGAGGAGCACGAAGGUUGGCUAAUCCUGGUCGGACAUCAGGAGGUUAGUGCAAUGGCAUAAGCCAGCUUGACUGCGAGCGUGACGGCGCGAGCAGGUGCGAAAGCAGGUCAUAGUGAUCCGGUGGUUCUGAAUGGAAGGGCCAUCGCUCAACGGAUAAAAGGUACUCCGGGGAUAACAGGCUGAUACCGCCCAAGAGUUCAUAUCGACGGCGGUGUUUGGCACCUCGAUGUCGGCUCAUCACAUCCUGGGGCUGAAGUAGGUCCCAAGGGUAUGGCUGUUCGCCAUUUAAAGUGGUACGCGAGCUGGGUUUAGAACGUCGUGAGACAGUUCGGUCCCUAUCUGCCGUGGGCGCUGGAGAACUGAGGGGGGCUGCUCCUAGUACGAGAGGACCGGAGUGGACGCAUCACUGGUGUUCGGGUUGUCAUGCCAAUGGCACUGCCCGGUAGCUAAAUGCGGAAGAGAUAAGUGCUGAAAGCAUCUAAGCACGAAACUUGCCCCGAGAUGAGUUCUCCCUGAGACUUAAAGUCUCCUGAAGGAACGUUGAAGACGACGACGUUGAUAGGCCGGGUGUGUAAGCGCAGCGAUGCGUUGAGCUAACCGGUACUAAUGAACCGUGAGGCUUAACCUUACAACGCCGAAG
This 2272-nucleotide ribosomal RNA is filed under the name Salmonella enterica subsp. enterica serovar Enteritidis. RNAcentral describes it as "partial 23S ribosomal RNA". It matches the Rfam family "Bacterial large subunit ribosomal RNA", at positions 689 to 2925 of the family's 2925-position model. Lineage: Bacteria; Pseudomonadati; Pseudomonadota; Gammaproteobacteria; Enterobacterales; Enterobacteriaceae. The record is from RNAcentral.